RNAcentral lists this ribosomal RNA (429 nucleotides) under Gemmatimonadota bacterium. Its description in RNAcentral is "Gemmatimonadetes bacterium partial 16S ribosomal RNA". It matches the Rfam family "Bacterial small subunit ribosomal RNA", at positions 355 to 776 of the family's 1533-position model. The record is from RNAcentral. Lineage: Bacteria; Pseudomonadati; Gemmatimonadota.
UAGGGAAUCUUCGGCAAUGGACGAAAGUCUGACCGAGCAACGCCGCGUGAGUGAAGAAGGUUUUCGGAUCGUAAAACUCUGUUGUUAGAGAAGAACAAGGACGUUAGUAACUGAACGUCCCCUGACGGUAUCUAACCAGAAAGCCACGGCUAACUACGUGCCAGCAGCCGCGGUAAUACGUAGGUGGCAAGCGUUGUCCGGAUUUAUUGGGCGUAAAGCGAGCGCAGGCGGUUUCUUAAGUCUGAUGUGAAAGCCCCCGGCUCAACCGGGGAGGGUCAUUGGAAACUGGGAGAGUUGAGUGCAGAGGAGGAGAGUGGAAUUCCAUGUGUAGCGGUGAAAUGCGUAGAUAUAUGGAGGAACACCAGUGGCGAAGGCGGCUCUCUGGUCUGUAACUGACGCUGAGGCUCGAAAGCGUGGGGAGCAAACAGG